RNAcentral lists this ribosomal RNA (447 nucleotides) under uncultured bacterium. Its description in RNAcentral is "bacterial SSU rRNA". It matches the Rfam family "Bacterial small subunit ribosomal RNA", at positions 330 to 794 of the family's 1533-position model. The record is from RNAcentral.
ACCAGACUCCUACGGGAGGCAGCAGUGGGGAAUAUUGCACAAUGGGGGAAACCCUGAUGCAGCGACGCCGCGUGAGUGAAGAAGUAUCUCGGUACGUAAAGCUCUAUCAGCAGGGAAGAUAAUGACGGUACCUGACCAAGAAGCCCCGGCUAACUACGUGCCAGCAGCCGCGGUAAUACGUAGGGGGCAAGCGUUAUCCGGAUUUACUGGGUGUAAAGGGUGCGCAGGCGGCUCUGCAAGUCAGGCGUGAAAGCUAGGGGCUCAACCCCUAAAUUGCGCUUGAAACUGUGGAGCUUGAGUGAAGUAGAGGCAGGCGGAAUUCCCGGUGUAGCGGUGAAAUGCGUAGAGAUCGGGAGGAACACCAGUGGCGAAGGCGGCCUGCUGGGCUUUAACUGACGCUCAGGAACGAAAGCAUGGGUAGCAAACAGGAUUAGAUACCCCCGUAUU